GGAGGGGUGGCAGAGCGGUUGAAUGCGAUGGUCUUGAAAACCAUUAACCGGUAACCCCGGUUCGAGGGUUCGAAUCCCUCCCCCUCCG
RNAcentral lists this transfer RNA (88 nucleotides) under Solirubrobacterales bacterium. Its description in RNAcentral is "tRNA-Ser". It matches the Rfam family "tRNA". From Rfam's summary of the family: Transfer RNA (tRNA) molecules are approximately 80 nucleotides in length. Their secondary structure includes four short double-helical elements and three loops (D, anti-codon, and T loops). The record is from RNAcentral. Lineage: Bacteria; Bacillati; Actinomycetota; Thermoleophilia; Solirubrobacterales.